RNAcentral lists this ribosomal RNA (621 nucleotides) under Triticum aestivum (bread wheat). RNAcentral describes it as "partial small subunit ribosomal RNA". The record is from RNAcentral. Lineage: Eukaryota; Viridiplantae; Streptophyta; Magnoliopsida; Poales; Poaceae.
AUGACGGACAUGGGGCUCGGCUGCAUCGCCGUUGGCUGCCUGGACCUGCGGGAGCUCACGCUCAACUGGUGCCUCGGGAUCACGGAUUUGGGGGUCCAGCUCCUCGCCCUCAAGUGCAAGAAACUCAGGACCCUGCAUCUUUCCUACACCAUGAUCUCCAAAGACUGCCUUCCAGCCAUCAUGAAGCUACCCAAUCUUAAGGUGUUGGCACUGGUGGGAUGUGUUGGAAUAGAUGACGAUGCCCUUAGUGGUCUUGAGAAUGAAUGCAGCAAAUCACUACGGGUGCUCGAUAUGUCAACCUGUCGGAAUGUCACUCAUGCGGGAGUUUCAUCAGUUGUGGAGGCAGUGCCAAAUCUCUGGGAAUUGAAUCUGUCGUACUGCUGUAAUGUUACUCCAUCUAUGGAAAGAUGCUUCCAAAUGCUUCCUAAAUUGCAGACCCUAAAAUUGGAAGGCUGCAAGUUCAUGGCUGAUGGACUAAAAUACAUUGGAAUUUCUUGUGUCUCUUUAAGAGAGUUGAGCCUGAGCAAGUGCUCAGGAGUGACAAAUACUGAUCUAUCUUUCGUUGUGUCAAGACUAAAGAAUUUGCUGAAGCUGGACAUUACUUGCACGCAAUAUCACUAA